Molecule: ribosomal RNA, 471 nt
Filed under: uncultured bacterium
Lineage: Bacteria
Description: bacterial SSU rRNA
Rfam family: Bacterial small subunit ribosomal RNA
Source: RNAcentral
CUCAGGAUUAACGCUGGCGGCGUGCCUAAUACAUGCAAGUCGAAUGGUAGCAAUACCAUGGCGAACGGGUGAGUAACACGUAGGUAACCUGUCUUUAAGACGAGGAUAACCGUUGGAAACGACGGAUAAUACUCGAUAGGUGAUUUGAGGGCAUCCUUGGAUCAUUAAAGAUUUAUCACUUAGAGAGGGGCCUGCGGCGCAUUAGCUAGAUGGCGGUGUAAUGGACCACCAUGGCGAUGAUGCGUAGCCGGACUGAGAGGUUGAACGGCCACAAUGGAACUGAGAACGGUCCAUACUCCUACGGGAGGCAGCAGUAGGGAAUUUUCGGCAAUGGGCGAAAGCCUGAACCCGAGCAACGCCGCGUGAACGAAGAAGUAUUUCGGUAUGUAAAGUUCUUUUAUCGGGGAAGAAAAUAUUCAAAUUGACGGUACCUGAUGAAUAAGCUCCGGCUAACUACGUGCCAGCAGCCGC